CCUACGGGUGGCAGCAGUGGGGAAUAUUGGACAAUGGGGGCAACCCUGAUCCAGCCAUGCCGCGUGUGUGAAGAAGGCCCUCGGGUUGUAAAGCACUUUCAGUGAGGAAGAACGCCUGGUGGUUAAUACCCAUCAGGAAAGACAUCACUCACAGAAGAAGCACCGGCUAACUCCGUGCCAGCAGCAGCGGUAAUACGGAGGGUGCGAGCGUUAAUCGGAAUUACUGGGCGUAAAGCGCGCGUAGGUGGCUUGAUAAGCCGGUUGUGAAAGCCCCGGGCUCAACCUGGGAACGGCAUCCGGAACUGUCAAGCUAGAGUGCAGGAGAGGAAGGUAGAAUUCCCGGUGUAGCGGUGAAAUGCGUAGAGAUCGGGAGGAAUACCAGUGGCGAAGGCGGCCUUCUGGACUGACACUGACACUGAGGUGCGAAAGCGUGGGUAGCAAACAGGAUUAGAUACCCCGGUAGUC
Molecule: ribosomal RNA, 465 nt
Filed under: Vreelandella stevensii
Lineage: Bacteria; Pseudomonadati; Pseudomonadota; Gammaproteobacteria; Oceanospirillales; Halomonadaceae
Description: partial 16S ribosomal RNA
Rfam family: Bacterial small subunit ribosomal RNA
Source: RNAcentral